Planococcus citri (citrus mealybug) is the source of this 4636-nucleotide long non-coding RNA. RefSeq lists it as uncharacterized. The transcript is spliced from 6 exons. NCBI's taxonomy places the organism in Eukaryota, Metazoa, Arthropoda, Insecta, Hemiptera, Pseudococcidae. The record is from RefSeq and is a predicted model, not a curated record.
UUGAAAUACCAGGCACUGGAGUACGGUUGACAGCGUUUUAAGCGUGCUAGGCUAGUGUACAUCCAGUAUUAGCUCAGUCGGAGAGUAGUUUAAAACACCAGUACUGCACUCAGAGAGCUACAGAUUUUAUUCAUUUUAUCUUUGAGACUCAAAUAAAACUCAGGGUUGGCGUGGGAGAUGAAAUAUAAUAUACAUAUAAUAUCACACGUGAAAAUUAUAUAUACAAUUUAUCUUCGAUGGAAUUUUUAAUCAUUAAUUUAAUUCGCAGGUAUUUUACAUAUAAUAUUUUAGCCUAUAGAAAUAGGUAACAUUUCGAUGAGAAAGAUUUAUUUUUUAUUUUUUAUUCGAUGAAUUUUAAGGGAAGUCGAAGACAUACAAAUCAUACAACUGAAGCUGUAGGUAGAUAGCUGCUUUGGAUGCUGUGCCACCGAGUAUAUAAACACUCGGCGACACAGCUAAUCUGCGAGUAGCAGAAAUAGCGUAGUUUAGCCGAUCGAGUCGGAGCACCGGGCGUUACCACUUCAUUGCCCCGUCGAAACACAGUGUGGCAACACUGCGAAUCGACAAGCACAACUUCGUGGUAGCCCGGUGCCCCUCGGACGAAGCCCAAAAAAUUCCAGCACGCUGGCUUUUUUCGGCUUCGUUCGACUGGCUGCACUGUCGCUGAUCAAAAUAUUUACUUUUGACAAAAUGGCUUGUUUCUGUGUUUCGACUUCUCUUUACAUUAAAAAAUGGUUUAAAACGAACUAAUUAAAACCUUAAAACUAAUUUAAAAACGUGAUUAAAACGUAACAAUAUAAAUAGUUUAAAACUUUCAAACGGUUAAAACAACACCGUAGUGUUUUUAUAUACUUUUAUCGGGAGAAGCCCGUUACUUUAUGAUCGAUCACCGAUCUUCAUUUACAUUUCAAAGGAAAAAGAACAACAAUAUAAGAUUUCGAAGAUCGAACGAAGAAUACAACAAUCGGCCGCCAUGUUUUUGCUCGGUGAUUCACCGGUACUUAAUUUCAACACCAUUUCCAAAUUUGGAUUUUAUCUCGAUAUAUGAAGAUUCAAAUUUGUGACUAGAAUAUCGUUUAGUUUGCCCCGAGGCAUUUUGUAUUUAUUCGGUGAUAGCGAAUUACCCAUGACAGGUGAGUUCCGUUUUUGAAAAUUGAUUUGUCUUCGAAUUAUUAAUUUUUUUCUGCCCUUCGUAGGCUGUUUCGAUAAAUUUCCACGAUGAUACCGUUCGGUUCGAGAUGAUUUGUUUAACACGUUCGCCAAAUUUGGAUGAUAGAAAAAGAGUGGCCAUGUUGCCAGCGUAAUCGUUCGAUGCUUUUACUACUUGGAUUCAUCAAUACGACAUAGGUAAUUUGUUUUCCUAUAAUUUUGAUUUUAUUCGACGAGUUUAAUUUUGGAUUUUUCGUAGUACGAGAACUUUUUGCGCUGAAGGCGCUUUUGGAAAAACUAUCCGAACAGAUGAAAUACGACUUUACACGAUAAUUUUAUUUUGAUUUACCGAGCUAGUAUGUUGGAAGCUGGAUACUUCGAUGACAGGUGUUUUAUCGCAUGGACUUGCUCGUUCGUUGACCGGUGUUGAUUGUUAUUCUUUGUCGUUGGUGUUUUUGGAAACGGUUUCUUCGGCUUUGCUGUUCGGUAUCUUCGAUGAUCUUCGGUGGUACUUUCAGUCUCAAGUGUUCGGUGAAUUUUUCAAAAUUGGAUAGAUUUUUGUUCGUCGAUUUGUUCGUUUCUUACUUCCUGCGUUUGCUGAACAGGUGGCGGCAGUGGUAUUACUGGAUGGACAUCUUUUUUUACUUCAAUUUUUGGCCAACGUUUUGCUGGGUACUCGAUGGCGAAGAUUUGCUUAAUUUCCGGAGGUGAGACAUUUAUUUUAUCGUUCCUACCUAUUUCUUGAUGUUUUGCUAUAGGCUUUUCUUCUUUUUUCAGGUGCUGAUCGAGUGAAUUCAUCCAAUCAGCGAAGGAGAAAUUUGGUUUUGCAGAUUCGAAGGCAUUACUGCUGGAUGGUAUACUAUUUUUGUAAAAAUUUUCGUUGUUAUUUUUAUUAUUUUUCGCUUGUACUUUUGCAUCCCUGUUUUGCUUUGCUUGUUGUUCGUAUAUUCGUAAUUUCGCGUACCAAUUUGACCAAAAGUCAGUGGCCUUUGGGUCAAUUUUAUCGAUGCACUUAAUUUUAUCGUUUUUCAAGCCUUUGUUAUCGAUCUGCAUCGCCACUUUUAUCGUAUCUCGAUCGCUCGCGAUUUGCUUAUCUUUUUCGUCGAUACUACUUUUUAUUCGAUUUUUGGAAUUUGCCAAGCUGGUUUUAUUGCUGGCGAUUUCUUCUCUUUUCUUCUCCAUCCAGGCAGUUUUCCAUUUUAUUUUGCGCAAUUUUGGGUUGGUAUGCGUGUCUAAAUUUGUCGUAGGUAGGGUUUUUGGAUCUUGCUUAUCAUUUGUGUCGACCCGAUUUUCUAUGUAUCGAGUAGAAGUAGGUGAAAAAUUGUUUUGUUUUUUCGAUGUUCUGUUUUUGUUGUUGUUUUCUGCAGACUUUUUCAAUUCAUAAACCUCCUCAAAUAUCCAACGGCCGGUAUCUCCUGAAUUUAGUCGUUGAACUGCGCUUGUAAGCAUUCGGAGAGCGGUUUUCUGGAAACUAGGGAUUACUGGGGGUUUUCUAGUCUUGUGGUAUCGUUGGAAACGAUCACAAUGGACUCGAACGUUCCCUCUGUCUGUUAAAAUUUGCCUAUACUUCGUUUUGUCGAUGAAUAAAUCAGCAAUUCGGGUGAUUAAAUUUGUAUUUGUCAUUUUUGUAAUUUUUUUAUAAAUUUCGAUAAAAGUUAAAUAUCUUCGGAGGCUUUUUGCAUUUUUUCGACCUCGUACAUAGGGCAGGAGGAUCGGGAAAAUUACACAAAUUUGUUUUGCUCCUUUUUCUUUUAUGUAUUCAAUCGUUUUUCGAAGAUAAAACUCAACAAAGUGAAAAUCAAUGUCACGUUCAUUGAGCUCAUUUUCUCCAAUUGACAAAAUUACAUUUUCUCUAAAUUCCGGUAUUUUCUUGAUUUGGUCGUAGUGUUCGGUGAUCGAUCGAUUGUUAUAUAAACGCCCAUUUACUAGGCCUUCUCCCAAUAUGUCAUAAAUUUUUUUAUCGAUUUUGAUAGUCCGGAUUUCCCCCCUCGUUGCAGAUAUUUCUGCACACAUCGUCACUUGGCGUUUUUUGGGUCAGUUUUCUGCCCCUCUGACUUUUCAUCUCGGGGUGGCGGGGGGUUUCCUUGAUGAUUUCUUUGAUCGUAGUAUCUGUUGCGGUUCCAGCGAUAAUUUGGAUCAUAGUUUCUCCCUUGGUAUCUUGGGUUCCUUUCCUCUUCGUGAUUCUGCUGCCUAUCUUCUUUUUGUUCAUAGUUUUUACUUCUAUCUUCAUAAUUUUUACUUCUGUCUUCCCUAUUGUCUUGGUAUCUACGGUCUCUGUUAUGCGGUUCUUCUCGACGAUAAUCUCUUCUUUCGUAAUUGUUUCGUCGAUAAUUCUCCCUAUCGUGGUAUCGGUAAUUAAUAUUUAUUUUUGACUGGUCUUCUUCUUCGUCCCAAGUUAUGGUCAUGUCGUCCGUGUCCAUGUUUUUGACAGUCUCUAACUUAGCCAUAAUUGAGUCUUUAUUGGUCAGUCCUUCGCUAUUGGUUUGCUGUUUAAUGCACUUAGGGAAUUUUUUAUACACCUUGGAGAUAAUCAAUUUUUCUCUGGUAUCGGUUUUUAACAAGGUGUCGUACCAAUUAGAGAUGUAUUCGAUGAAAUCGAUAAUUUUUGUAAUGUGUCUUGGGAUUUCUUUUUCAAAAGCCAUUACAGCUGCACUUUUCACAUUAUCGUCCCAAAAAAUAUCUAAGAAGUAUUCUUGUAAUUCUUCAAAAGUCUUGGCUUUUUGGACUUUUUCGUUCCAGGCAGUUGAUUCGAUUUUCACACACGAAGCUAGCAGCAUUCUUCGAUUAUCUGGAUCGAUAUUUUGAGUUACCGCCGGUGUUGUAAAUUGAGCCAAAAAUUUGUGUGGGAAAAAUCUAUUUUUUUGCUCAAAAUUAGACACAUUUUUGUAGAAUAAAUCGAUGAAAAUUUUAUCUGAUCCGCUAGCUGGAACUGUAGCCACUUGUACGUUCUUCAUCGUAUUAUUUAAAGCCAUCUUCGCUCCUUCAACAAUUGUUUUAACGUUUGCAUCGACUAUGCCCAUAAAUUUGUCGUGUGCAUCUGAUUCAAUUUUAUCCAGGCUAUCUUCCAUAUUCAAUUUUAAUUGAUCGAAAUAAAUUUUAAUAUCUUUUUUCACGUCUGCAUUCAGAAGGGCAACUAUUUCGGUUUUUAUUUCUUCUUUUAGCGCUUCUUUAAGUUCUUCUUUUACCAGAUUUUUUAAUUCUUCUUUUAAUUCGGAUUUUAUAUCGUUUUUUAAUUCGGAUUUUGCGAGACCUAAGUCAUUUUGUAAUUUAUUUUCUAAUUCGUUGAGAUUUUCUUGAGUAAUCAUUUUGAUCUUUCUUUUUCUAGGUUUGGUUACUUUUGGAAUUGGUGGUGGAGCAAUUCGAUUACGAAGUUUAAUACCCUGAGGAAAUACUCGCGCUGGUGAUGAAGAUUUUACUGUUGUUUUAGGUAUUUUGAAGAUUUUUUGUAAUUUUAUUUUUUAAAAAAAUACAACUGAGAGUUCGUGGA